Ictidomys tridecemlineatus (thirteen-lined ground squirrel) is the source of this 4063-nucleotide non-coding RNA. Lineage: Eukaryota; Metazoa; Chordata; Mammalia; Rodentia; Sciuridae. The record is from RefSeq and is a predicted model, not a curated record.
GGCCCAGGGUGGGAGGUGAGGCGGGGGCUUCAGGUUUCAUUCCCCGGAGCCUUCCGUAUCCCCCAAGCAGCAUCUCUGUAGGAAGCAUCUGGUCAAGAACAUCCCAGGCCUGUGGGUGUCUCCAUGACACUCAGAGGUUAAAUACCCUACUCCCUGGAGCUCCCUUCUCACCCUGGAAGAGGACGUGGCCAUGGCUGGAAUGAGUGUGAGGGGCAACCAGAUUCCUCUAGCAUGGAUCUGGGGCCUCAGUGGCACCAGCAUCAGAGAAACAGAGAAACAGAUUUGGCUCUAGAACAAAAUCUAGAGCUGGGUCUGGGUCUGGCUUCCCUAAUGGGAACUCCUGCCCAUGAAGCUGAUGUGUGGCCAUCUCUCAUCUUGGGACAGAUGGACAUUCACCGCAGUGAAGAGGGAUGAGCACAGGCAGAGCUGGCUUCCCGGAGCUGGCUCUGCCAGGCACUUGCUGGGCGUCCUCGGGAAGGUCAAUUAACGUCCCCAGACUUCAGUAUCCUUGUUUGUAAAAGAGCGUUAACAGCAUCUACUUCUGGAGGUGGUUUUGAGGGCUCAGCGAGAUGAUGAUGGUAUGAUGAAGAUGGUGAUGGUGGUGACCAUGAUGGUGAUGGUAACAGCUGACAGGCAUGGAAUCCUGGGAACCCUUCUGGGCACUGUUCGGUCUCCUCUUCAGGAUGGAGGCGUUCACCUUGCAGCUUCCUGGCCUGCUGAGCGCCUCCCUGGAAUUGCCUUCAGCCUAAGCCAGGGCCACACCCCUUUCCUGGGUGUCACCCACCUCAAGGGUGAUGGAUCCUGCCCCUGAGCUCCAGUCUGAGGCCACAGCAGAGCAGGUCCACAUCUCCCUCUACCCAGUCCUGUCCCCAUCGCCUCUCAACAGGCUUCCCUGCUGAGCCUCCUGCGUCCAUCUCAGGAGGAAUCCAACCCAGGACAGCCCUUUCCCGGCCCUGUCUCCUGUGGUCCUCCUAACAGCCCUUUGAAGGGGACACCACAGUUAAACCAUUUACACACAUGCAAACUGAGGGGUACAGAGAUUAAACCUCUGUUGCAGCCCCCCGGGGAGGAAGUGGCAGGACUUGGAUUGGAACACAGGGCACCUGGCUCCAGAACCGAGCUCUCAGCCGCCAUGGGGAGCCCGGCCAGCGCUGGGCAGGCGGGCAAGGGGGCAGGAGGUAGUAAACAUCCCUUCCUGCCCUGCCGCUGUGGCUGAGGGUGACUCUGGGCCAUUGCCACCUACUCUGAGGCCCCGUGUUCCCCGAUUGUGCCAGCAGCCAGGAUAGUAGCAGCACCAGCAGCGCCUCCAGCCCCACGUGGAAAACAACACCUCCCGCGGCCGCCCGCCCCCUCCCCAGCUGCCGAUGUAACACUGUGGUUCUGUGCCAGGGCGGAGCUCUGCCUGCUGCACCUCCUGUGGACCAUGCAGCUGCAAAAACUGCUGGGGGAAGAGAUUUGCCACCUGAUCUCCCCUCACCCUGAGAUCUGAGACCUUGAAAGGCCAGAGACCCUGCAGCACCCAGGUGCUGGCCAAGCCUGGGGUGUGGCAAGCAGUCCUGAGCGAGUCUAGGUAUCUCCACCAACGACUCAGGAUUCCAGGGAUGGGCAGUGGACCCCUAAGGUCCCUUCCAGAGCUGCUGUUGUGAAGUUCACGUCCAUGCAGAUGUCCCCCAGGGCUUUUGAGUCUCCCUCCCGCACACCCUCCGGAUGGCCAGAAAGGCCUUAUACACGGGGUCAGAGCUUUGCAUGUAUGGCCAUGACAAUGCACCAGGGCUGGCAGGACCAUCUUCCCGUGUCACAAGAUAAACAAAGGCACAGAGAGUGGGAGGGACAUGCCUCAAGUUAUUCAGUCUUGAGAUCUCCCCACUUUUAAUCUACAGAUGAAAAUGUGUAUGCUGCUGACAAUCAGCAUUAAGAGAGGGCUUCGAAACCAUCCUGUCCUGUUCAUUUGCUUGACAGAUAAGGAACGGGGAGGCCUGGAGUCCCCCUCUUUCCCCCAAGUUGUACAACCCCCAGCAGCGGAGCUGGGGCCAGGGCUCUGUCUGGGCUUCAUUCAAUUACUCUUGGUUGGGUGCUUUUCAAAUUUCAUGCCCUCAAUGGUUCCCAGUUAAGAUUAAAACUUAAACCACUACUGAGGAGGUCAAUGCUGCAAUAACCUUAGGGACAAUUGGUUCCCUGCCUCUGAUUUCCUGUUCAGGGGAUGGGGAUGGAGCUGUCACGGAGGCAGCAUGGCAGUCUGGGGUGUACACGCUGGAGACUGCAUUUAUUUUCCCAUGGGUAGCACAGGCAGCCCAGGGAGGGAGGGUGAGGGACAAAGAGAUGUGUGUAUUCUGGCAAAUUUGGGGAAUUAACUCUGAGGUUGUUCCAAGGAGAAAAUGAUGUUUUGAAUCAGGAGUUAUUAUCCCUCUGAGCUCACUGCCUUUUAAAGAAUACCUUGUUUACUUAACGGUUCUGCUUACAGAUUUAUUUAUACCUGGCUCACUUAGAAAAAGAAUCUGAAGUGGCUAAUUAUUCAAUUAGAUUGUGAGCUCCUCCAGGGCAGGAAAUGCCUUCAUUAACUCUGCUCCUCUGAAAGGCUAACUCCUGCCCACCCCUGCCCACCUCUGCCCCGGGGCCUCCCAGGCUGCAUUCUCGGGGUCUCUGUGCAUUUUAAGAACAUUUCUGUCUUUGUUCUCCAACUGCGAGCUCAGUGGGUGGGAUCAGGGGCUACCCAUAAUUACAUCUCAGUGUCUCAUCCAUUCACCUGUCUGUGCAUCCAUUCAGUCAUUUAUCCAUCAACAAAUCAAAUAUCCAUCCAUCCCAACAUCCAUCCAUCCACAUAUCUGUCUGGCCAACUAUUCAUCUGUCUCUACAAUCACCCAUUCCCACAGCCAUCCACAGCCAUCCACCAUCUAUCUAGUCCUUCAAAACCCCAGAGAGUUGCACAACUACAGCUAAAUGGAAUAGACGACAAGGAGUUGUCCUUUGGCCUGGGCCACACUUUGUUCCAAGCACUGCACCGACUUGCAGAGAGUUUUUUUGAUGAAGCUGGGCCAGCCCUGGGCAUCUCCAGCCAUCUGGGCUCCCUCCUACCCCAUACUCUUUACCCUGAUACUGAUGAGCUGCUUCCUGUCCUCCCCGCGGGGCUGGAGUUCCUUGGGGCCAGCACCUUUCCUCAUUUACCUCUUUAGGAACCUAAGAAUCCUUAUAAAGUGGAUGAAGGAAAAAGUCAAUCCCCACACAAAUACUGCAAUAGCUCAGGGGUUGGAAUCAGGAGGCCAGGGGAUUCAGCUUGACUUGAACCUUGUGCGAUGGAGUGACAAACGUUGAGCAAGGGACUGUUUCCUGGGUACGUUCUAAGCACUUUAUUUGCACUAAUUGAAUUCUUUCUCUGAGGUAGGUCCAUUAUUACGCUCAUUUUACAGAUGAUGGAAUAGAGGUAGAGCAGCCUGCCAAGGUGCACAGUUAGAAGAGGUGGAGCUGGGAUUACCCCGCGACUGCUUCUGCUCGUUGCCCUGGGAACGGGUACGGGACCACAGGGUAAGAGGGAGUAUUCCAGGCUCAGGCAACUGGCAAGCCAAAACUAUCCCCGAGGUGCUGAGGAUUGAACCCAGGGCCUCAUACAUGCAAGGCGAGUGCUCUACCACUGAGCCAUAACCCCAGCCUCCUCAUGAUUCUUCCUUUUUCACGUCCGUUAAGCCAGUAUCGUGUGGAUGACAUCAAGGUCUGCAACAGGGCUACUGGGACCACAUUGGAGGAGCUUCUUUUUUUUUUCUGUGUAUUUCUGGAGGAGCUUCUGAAUGCCUGAAUGGCUGAACAAAGUGAAAGGAAUCCUGGGAAACCACUUCCUAGGCAACCCUAUGGAAACAAGAAACCCAAGCUGACAGAUUCCUGUGGACAUUUGAGCCCUGAGUUCCAGCUGUCCCUGAAACCAACCUACUCCUGGAGUUUCCCAAAGCCAACCACGGGGUCCGGGGUGCCCUCGACAGGAGGCAGGGAGAAGUGAGAGCCACCGUGGGCUGCAAGGGGGGCAGAACCCCAGCCUCAAAGCCCUGAGCUUCCAAAUCAGCCUCUCAACUGGCGA